RNAcentral lists this ribosomal RNA (483 nucleotides) under uncultured bacterium. RNAcentral's name for it is "partial 16S ribosomal RNA". It matches the Rfam family "Bacterial small subunit ribosomal RNA", at positions 30 to 507 of the family's 1533-position model. The record is from RNAcentral.
AUUGAACGCUGGCGGCAGGCUAACACCUGCCAGUCGAGCGGAUGAAGGGAGCUUGCUCCUGGAUUCAGUGGCGGACGGGUGAGUAAUGCCUAGGAAUCUGCCUGGUAGUGGGGGAUAACGUCCGGAAACGGGCGCUAAUACCGCAUACGUCCUGAGGGAGAAAGUGGGGGAUCUUCGGACCUCACGCUAUCAGAUGAGCCUAGGUCGGAUUAGCUCGUUGGUGGGGUAAAGGCCUACCAAGGCGACGAUCCGUAACUGGUCUGAGAGGAUGAUCAGUCACACUGGAACUGAGACACGGUCCAGACUCCUACGGGAGGCAGCAGUGGGGAAUAUUGGACAAUGGGCGAAAGCCUGAUCCAGCCAUGCCGCGUGUGUGAAGAAGGUCUUCGGAUUGUAAAGCACUUUAAGUUGGGAGGAAGGGCAGUAAGUUAAUACCUUGCUGUUUUGACGUUACCAACAGAAUAAGCACCGGCUAACUUCGUG